UACGAAGGGGGCUAGCGUUGCUCGGAAUCACUGGGCGUAAAGCGCACGUAGGCGGAUCAUUAAGUCGGGGGUGAAAUCCUGGAGCUCAACUCCAGAACUGCCUUCGAUACUGAAGAUCUCGAGUCCGGGAGAGGUGAGUGGAACUGCGAGUGUAGAGGUGAAAUUCGUAGAUAUUCGCAAGAACACCAGUGGCGAAAGGCGGCUCACUGGCCCGGUACUGACGCUGAGGUGCGAAAGCGUGGGGAGCAAACAGG
This 254-nucleotide ribosomal RNA is filed under the name uncultured bacterium. RNAcentral's name for it is "partial 16S ribosomal RNA". It matches the Rfam family "Bacterial small subunit ribosomal RNA", at positions 524 to 776 of the family's 1533-position model. The record is from RNAcentral.